RNAcentral lists this small nuclear RNA (130 nucleotides) under Triticum aestivum (bread wheat). RNAcentral describes it as "snRNA U2". It matches the Rfam family "U2 spliceosomal RNA". From Rfam's summary of the family: U2 is a small nuclear RNA (snRNA) component of the spliceosome (involved in pre-mRNA splicing). Complementary binding between U2 snRNA (in an area lying towards the 5' end but 3' to hairpin I) and the branchpoint sequence (BPS) of the intron results the bulging out of an unpaired adenosine, on the BPS, which initiates a nucleophilic attack at the intronic 5' splice site, thus starting the first of two transesterification reactions that mediate splicing. Lineage: Eukaryota; Viridiplantae; Streptophyta; Magnoliopsida; Poales; Poaceae. The record is from Rfam by way of RNAcentral.
AUAUCUUUCUCAGCCUUUUGGCUAAGAUCAAGUGUAUUAUAUGUUCUUAUCAGUUUAUAAUAUGUGAUAUGUGGGCCAUGUACCAACAAUGAUCUUAAAUUUAUGUUUUGUGGGAGAUGAUCCACCACAC